GAUGAACGCUGGCGGCGUGCUUAACACAUGCAAGUCGAACGGACAGACCAGACUCUUGCUUUUUUGAUGUUAGCCGAGGACGUGAGAGUAACACGAGGAUACCCUCCCUUUCUGUCUGAGAUCAUUACGAGACUCCGGCUCUUAUACCGGAUAAUCUUCUGCACCGUGUGGUUUAAAAGUGAUAGUCGGUCGUGGUGUCACUAAUAGCUGGAUCCGCGCUGUAUUAGCUAGUUGGUCAGGUAACGGCUUACCAAGGCAACGAUGGAUAGACGAACUGAGAGAGUGAUCGGCCACACUGGAACUGAGACACGGACCAGACUCCUAAGGGAGGCAGCAGUAGGGAAUGGUACGCAGUAGGCGAGAGCAUGACAGAGCAACGCCGAGUGAGAGAUGGAGGUCCUCGGAUCGUAAUACUCUGUUAUUAGUGAAGAACAGAUGUGUAAGUAAAUGAGCACAUAGUGACGGUAACGGGUAAGAAAGCAACGGCUAACUACGUG
Molecule: ribosomal RNA, 497 nt
Filed under: uncultured bacterium
Lineage: Bacteria
Description: partial 16S ribosomal RNA
Rfam family: Bacterial small subunit ribosomal RNA
Source: RNAcentral